RNAcentral lists this ribosomal RNA (499 nucleotides) under uncultured bacterium. RNAcentral describes it as "partial 16S ribosomal RNA". It matches the Rfam family "Bacterial small subunit ribosomal RNA", at positions 28 to 507 of the family's 1533-position model. The record is from RNAcentral.
GAUGAACGCUGGCGGCGUGCCUAAUACAUGCAAGUCGAGCGAACAGACGAGAGUGCUUGCACUCUCUGACGUUAGCGGCGGACGGGUGAGUAACACGUGGGUAACCUACCUAUAAGACUGGGAUAACUUCGGGAAACCGGAGCUAAUACCGGAUAAUAUUUAGCUUCGCAUGAAGCAAUAGUGAAAGACGGUUCUGCUGUCACUUAUAGAUGGACCCGCGGUGUAUUAGCUAGUUGGUGAGGUAACGGCUCACCAAGGCAACGAUACAUAGCCGACCUGAGAGGGUGAUAGGCCACACUGGGACUGAGACACGGUCCAGACUCCUACGGGAGGCAGCAGUAGGGAAUCUUCCGCAAUGGACGAAAGUCUGACGGAGCAAUGCCGCGUGAGUGAAGAAGGUUUUCGGAUCGUAAAACUCUGUUGUAAGGGAAGAACAAGUACGUUAGUAACUGAACGUACCUUGACGGUACCUGACCAGAAAGCCACGGCUAACUACGUG